RNAcentral lists this transfer RNA (76 nucleotides) under Gallionellaceae bacterium. RNAcentral's name for it is "tRNA-Thr". It matches the Rfam family "tRNA". From Rfam's summary of the family: Transfer RNA (tRNA) molecules are approximately 80 nucleotides in length. RNAcentral also lists the same sequence under 2 other names. Lineage: Bacteria; Pseudomonadati; Pseudomonadota; Betaproteobacteria; Nitrosomonadales; Gallionellaceae. The record is from RNAcentral.
GCCGAUGUAGCUCAGUUGGUAGAGCAACGCACUCGUAACGCGUAGGUCGUCUGUUCGAUUCAGAUCAUCGGCACCA